Molecule: long non-coding RNA, 5326 nt
Organism: Syngnathus typhle (broad-nosed pipefish)
Lineage: Eukaryota; Metazoa; Chordata; Actinopteri; Syngnathiformes; Syngnathidae
Exons: 3
Source: RefSeq, a predicted model, not a curated record
UUGCGGCAAACAGUUUUCGCAUCACAAUCGCCAGGUUGAUUAAGAGCUUUUGCCCAGGACAAGUGUUCAGUGUCAGCACGUGAGCUGCUCAGUCAUCGAGAUGCUUUACUUGCCGUUACAUUUUCCAAAAGAGCAAAAACCUCAGGCUGCAGAUGAAAGGGUUCCCUGAAUCACAUCCGCGUAUGUCUAUGGUAGAGUAGAAAACUUUCCACCAUGCCGGUGCACUUUUAAAGGGAGUCUGUGUCGCCCGAGGCGAGCAAUUACUCCACAUUGUAACCACGACACAAAAGUGACUUUAGCGAGUGUAUCGACUGCGUAACCUCAAAGGAAAUCUCCAUUCAGGCGCUCAUAAAAGAACGUCUCAUGAGCCGCGAUACGACGAGGGAUUAGCGAAGAGAAGCAGGUGAAGUCCUAUGGCUAUGCGCGUUUGCUCAGCUGUACGCCGCCGCGCCCAAGUAACCCAAGGUCGGGGAUGUAGCGCUCCAUUUUGCUCUUUUUCCACCCUUCCGCCUUGCUAUUCUUUAUAUUUGCACAGCCCAAGCUCGGGUUUCUGGAGCGGGCCGAUCUUCCUGGGAUAACCCGCCCACCCCUGCCCAUUCUUCACCUUGGACCCCCAAGCCCCGCCCCUGCUGAAAGUAAACACGGAAAUACAAUAGGUGCAAGCGCACAGACGUAUAAUGUCAAUAUGUGAGUAUAAGAUAAACAGCAGACCUGAGUUCACACGCACGUUGAGUGAUUGCUGACCCAGAUGACAAAUGCAGAGCUGAGUUGUGACUAUGCCUGAGCCUAUCCAGGGAAAACCCGAUCAUAGGUCACAUGCAUCCAUCCAUCCAUCCAUCCAUCCAUCCAGCCCUAGGUUUAAUUUGGAAUUUCGCAUUAUGGUUAGUUUAAUUUACUUGUGAUUUCAGUUUUUUUUAUCAUUGAGUUAACUCGUUUUUAAAUUGUGUGUAUUUGUUGUGAAAAAUAUUGUGUAAUAGAGUGAAGUCAACAACAAUUCCCAAACAACUGCUCAACUAUCCUUCCUCAUGACCAAAAAGUCCAACCGAAAUAAAUAUGAUCAAAAGACUAUUUCAAAGUAACCCCGAAAACCAUCGAAAAUAAAAUUAAUUGACAAGGAUGAAAACGAUAGACAUAUUAUAGUUAUCUUUCUAGAUGAGGAAUGUAUUUUCAGUUGGAUAUCCUUUUAAUUUAAUUUUGUUGAUUUUUUUCUCACUUUUAACUUUGAUUAUUUUUUUAAUUUCUCUUAACUAUACUAAACCAUAGCAAAGACAAACGCCAUCCUCCUUUAAUGAAGCAAAUAAUGAAAGAAAUAAAAUCAUUUGUUACUUUACACGACAUUACUUUUAGAACAGACAGCGGCUAAAUUAUUGUCACAACAGGUUCUGAUGUGAUAUAGUAGAUGUCUGCCGAGGUGUGUUUACUGUAAUAUUAUCUGCAAUGGGACACCGUAGACAGCCUGAAGCAACCCUGUGAGCCAGAUGAGUAGGCCAUAGCGUUAAUAUCAUACAGUUCUACAGAUUGCACAUCAAAGUGUCAAAGCGCAGUUGAUUUUAGGGUACGUUUCUCUCCCCCAGGGUUCAAACGAUUUUGCUUGAUUCGUUCCAUCGAGACGGUGCUGAAGUUCACCGCUAUGGAAACAAGAUAAUUGAAUACGUCCCAAAAUUUUCCAUACAUGCCGCAGCCACUAUUAUCUAAAGUAACAUUCUGUCAGUUACGCUAGUGCACAGGUGUCAAAGUCAAGGCCCGGGGACCAAAUACGGCCCGCCACAUCAUUUUAUGUGGCCCGCAAAGACAAAUUGUGCAUCAAAGUUGUAUCAUUGCUAGAAUUUCAAAUUGUCUUCACUUUUAAUAAUGUCUUUUUUUUAAAAAUAUUUGACCAGUUUUUACUCCUCUGAUUUGAAAACGAGUUAUUUGUCAGUCUGUUUUUUAGCUUUUACUGUAUAUAAUAUGAGGUGCUCAUACAUUUAUUUGGGUUGACAGUAAUAAUGUCCCUCCGAAAGAAGCUAUGACGACAAUGCGGCCCGCAAAAAAAAAAGAGUUUGACACCCCUGAUCUAAAGUAACAUUCUGUCAGUUAUGCAGGUGGAUCACAUUGCUGCUGAAAUCAUGGGAAAUGUGUUGCUACUUAUUACUCAUCAUAUCAAAGUUAACCUUGAGACCAAGUCAGGUUCUCCUUUGCAUGUGUGAGCCCCUCCGGAGCCCCAGGGUGCCACGCCGAGGUGUGAAUGCUAACACGGCCCAAUCCGUAUGCCACAGAGAAAAAACAAUCCAUGCUAAUCUGCUGCCCCAGACAGGAGUCCAGUUAGGCCAAUCAGCGGAGGAAUCAUCAGGAACGGCGGGGGCUCACGGAAGCCCAGAUCGGGGCGCCUGAUUGCGGCACGGGUGAUUUGCGGCCCCAGAACAAUGAUGGCUGCCCAGCUCAACGCCAGAGGAGGCUGCACCACAAACUCACCUGACACUCAGACCAAAGUCUUGUAUGACGUAUUACCUGAAAGCUAUAUGUGGGUUAAAGUAAAGAAAAUCACUUUGAUAGAAGAAAAAGUCUUUGGCAUUCGUUCCAGAUAAUCAGAUGUAAUUUUCUGAUAUUAAAUGUACUUGUAAAUAAUGGAAAUUAAAGGUAACAAAAUCAAAGGCAAAAUGGCCACCCUGAUGGAUAAAAACUUUAUUCAUAUUCCGUGCUUAGACUAGUGGGAACACAUGGAACACGUUUAUUGUAAAGAAAAUGUUUGACUUGACAUUACCGUUAAGUUCAUUACAUUAACUUCAGCGGUGUACAGAUGUUGAAGUUGUCCGCAUGUUAGCUAGCACACAUUAGCUUGGCUAUCACGCGAUUCAUGUGCCUCAACAAGCUCAGAACUGAAAAAAAAGAUGACGUUCGGACUGCACUGGAUUCUUUCUCUAACCACAUUGCGCUUUUUCAGAAUGGCUGGGAGCUUUUGAGUGCCAAUAGUUCUACCACGACAGAAUCAGCAGUAGGUGAUUUCGCGGGACUUCUUAUUUAGUUUUCGGAGGUUCCGGCUUUUUCAACUAUUUGCAAUAACUAUACGCUGACAAACUCUUUGUAGUCUAAAAGAGGUUCACUUGUUGUCUCCUUCAACGUAACAAGGAAGUGGAGGGGUGUUGAGUCCGUGCCCGCCAAGUUUUCACCUAAACAUUCCCCCGGGGCUUGCAUUUGACCCUCCGCAUUUCAACCAAAACAACACAGCAAGCCACUUCCUAUGAACUGGGCCUAGAUAAAACGGGAAGCUACCUUGUGCCCCGCAGCAUAAUAUGGUAAUACCACGGGAAUGACUGAGGUUUGGAAGGGGGGGGCGGGGGUUCAGAUCUUAAGCGUGCAUAAGGGAGUAUUCUUUAUAUUGCCCUCCCUUUGAUCUGCAGUCAUCAUUUACCAAAGAGAUGGAAGUCCAAAGGUUGAAAGUUCACUUCAAAGUGACUCUCAAAAGUUCCCGUAAGUUAGCAAAACACUAGCUAAUGCAUGAUAAAACGUUAUAAAAAACAACUGCAUGUUGAGAACUGUAUAUAUUGUGACAAGCCACAUCAGAAAAACAACUACGACUGUCUAUGACCUUUAGGGGUCGUGGCCUAAAGACGUCAGAUCAUGUCUCUGCGAGCGUCUGGACUUGAAUUCUGAUCAACUUCAGCUGCUUGAAAAUGUUCUUGGUUUGUGCUUGUGAGUUUGGAUAUGGAAGUGUCAAAACAAACCGGCUUGUCCAAGAUCCCAUCUGCAGGGUAACGCUUAACUUGCAUUGAGAAACACCUGAUGCGUACGUUGGAAUUUUAUCCACAUUAGGCCUGACUUCAAUCAUAACAUACAGGUAUGUGAUUUCAUGACGUGUACAGUAUGCCAAUUGUAUCGCUGCAAAGCACGCAUUGGAAAUCCAGCCUAUGGUGUGCUUCAACAAGAUCAUUUUUCAUGAAAUAUUUUAAAACAAUACUUGGCAGCCACACUUGUGACUCAAUUGAAAUUGGCUAACUGAUUGUGUCAGUUUAUGUUGUGCAACAUCACGUCACUGUUCUGCUAUAUUAUUGUUCACUUUUCACACUUUGUACUUAUUAUCAGGCUGUUUUAUAAAUCUGUAGUUGUUAUAUAUAUAAUUAUGGAAUAUAUAGCUGUAAAGUUAAAGCAGUUGACAGGUUGAUGUAAUAUUUGAGCUUAAAAUAGGAUAUAGAAUAUGUACAUUUACAUGUAUUUUGGUGAGUCCAGCAGAGCCACAUUGCUUACAUACUGUAAAUUACAUUCCAGCAAAGGCGUUCAGGAAAUAGCCUCGAGUCAAAUCUGCUGUUGCACAUGCCACUAACGUCGCAAAUUACUGCUGUUGCACAUAUACAUUUACUACUUGGUUCAUUGUUGUAGGAACUCUAAGUUAUCAAUGAAGUUGUCAUAUGGAAACUUUUUGAAAAGCCAAAGGAACCAGUUCUUACAAAGAUGUUCGACUAAUCUACUCUGGAAAGUGUGUAAUGUUUAACGUUCGGAAUUAGUGUGCGUUAGCAACCAAUGUUAGCAUACUUGCCUCCAGGAUUCCAGCGAAUCGGAUGUAAAACUUGAGACGCUUUUCUAGUUCACGCAAAUCUUUGUACCUCAGUUCUAAUAACUUUCAGUCAUGACAGCGAACAGAGUUCACCAGAAGUCACCCAGUGUAAAAUCAGUAAUCCUGUGCCCUGAGUGCGCCUUCCUAUAAAUAGAUAGACAUUUACGUUGAAAUAUUUUAUUUCAGUAUUCCGUGUUCUCUGGGUGUGAGGUGGUGUUGGCUAACCGCCACUGAUAGUGAUCCACAAUAGAUCGAUACAUACAGUAUCUUAAUAGCUCAUUGUCUUCUCGUUGCCUCAUCUUCUGAGCCCCAAAAAAAUGUGCCAUUGUCAUGAAACUAAUUAAAAUGAUUUGGCAAGUGUUUCAAAGUGCCAAGGCACUGAAGAAGGAAGGUUGCUCAUCCUUCAUGCAUGUAGAGAAGUACAGUAGCACCAUUAAGAAAGAGUCUUGGCCCUGGCUGGCUGUGUCUUUCUCGCCGCGGGUCGUGUGUGGGAGUGGAACGUGCUUUGACGUCUGAUACCACACAUACACAACAUUGCUCUCAAUGUAGACAACAGACAGGUGUGUACAUGUGCAACCCCCUCAUCGCCACCACACACCUUACAGGACAGAAGCAGUUUUGGUUUGAACCCACCCAAGUUUCUUGAUUUUUCAAAGGAUGAAUAAUAAAUGACAUUCUCCGUUUCAGAUUUGGAUUUUGCGUGUGGACGCUACGUAUAUGUGUGAGUAUUGUUGUAUGCAUUUUCUGUGUCGCUGCUCCAUUUGGUCCGAAUACGAUUGGAUGAGGUUGAGUAAGGUA